RNAcentral lists this long non-coding RNA (578 nucleotides) under Triticum aestivum (bread wheat). RNAcentral's name for it is "long non-coding RNA (TAES_LNC008807)". The record is from RNAcentral. Lineage: Eukaryota; Viridiplantae; Streptophyta; Magnoliopsida; Poales; Poaceae.
UGCUUUCCAGGUGUUCAACUGCAGUCAGUUUUGGCUGAUGCUCCUGCUACAGGGUGAGGUACAUACUGGCCUCUGUGCUGCCCGUACCUGUUGGAUUCCUCUCUGUUAUUCACACAACAUAUUUUCAUCACUAUUAGGGAUUUGAAUCUGUGCUUCUCAAGAUUUUACUGUGUUUAUUUACAUGCACUGGAGUGAGUAUCACGGCCAAUGUGGAUAGCAUUGUCACUCAUGGGUGGUGGAGAACCGGAGAAGGAAAUGCAGUGUCUUGCCAUCCUGCAACAGUUGCGACUUGUAGACAUCCUUGUCAUGAAGGUUUGUCUGAUGUGGAGUGGUCUUGUCAUCUCAAUCUGCAAGGGCAUGUGAACAAGAUAGAUAGGUCGAAAAUCUUGUAGGGAAGUGUAACAAAAGUUUGUGGUGCAAAAUUUUGGUACGCAUCUCAUGAAGCUUUUCCUUGCAGGCAUGUUUCUCGUGCUCCAUUCUUGACGGUGACAGGGAGGUAGCGGGCAUCCAAGACACUCAAAAGCCCGGAGAGAGAACGCAAUGCCAUGGCCAGCACAAAAGGCAGGCGAUGAAGAAAA